AGAUUGAACGCUGGCGGCAGGCCUAACACAUGCAAGUCGAGCGGUAGAGAGGUGCUUGCACCUCUUGAGAGCGGCGGACGGGUGAGUAAAGCCUAGGAAUCUGCCUGGUAGUGGGGGAUAACGCUCGGAAACGGACGCUAAUACCGCAUACGUCCUACGGGAGAAAGCAGGGGACCUUCGGGCCUUGCGCUAUCAGAUGAGCCUAGGUCGGAUUAGCUAGUUGGUGAGGUAAUGGCUCACCAAAGGCGACGAUCCGUAACUGGUCUGAGAGGAUGAUCAGUCACACUGGAACUGAGACACGGUCCAGACUCCUACGGGAGGCAGCAGUGGGGAAUA
RNAcentral lists this ribosomal RNA (336 nucleotides) under uncultured soil bacterium. RNAcentral describes it as "bacterial SSU rRNA". It matches the Rfam family "Bacterial small subunit ribosomal RNA", at positions 26 to 363 of the family's 1533-position model. The record is from RNAcentral.